CCGGUCACGAACAGAGCGUAAUUGCUGCACGUCUGGCCAGAACAAACACUUGAGCUGGAAAUACCAAACUGUAUAUAUGUUAAACACAGGCUAGUUUUACAGAAUUUUCACCUCUACUUCUCAAUACAAAACCUGUUUUUCACAACUAGCAUUACCCCCACACGCAGAAAUUUUUAAAGAAAAGAUGACUAGGUCUAUUCUAGAACCUUUUGUUAUUCCUGGCAGUAGUACAAUGAAAUUGGGUCUAGUGGUAUUUAUUGUUGGGGUGGAUGUAACUCCUAUUGAAUCUGAAAGCACAGCAUCAAGUGAAAACUGCUGAACAAAUGCUAAGCAUAGAAACUCUUCUGUUUAUGAACUUUUUGGUUUUCAAUAGGCUGCCCUGAGUAUGCUUUUUUGUUCUUAAUUGAACACAACAUGGUACAAAAAAUUACUACCCCUGGCCGGGCGUGAGCCACCACGCCCAGCCUUUUUAUUUUAAACUCAUAUAUAUUUAUUAGCUGGAG
RNAcentral lists this long non-coding RNA (503 nucleotides) under Homo sapiens (human). RNAcentral describes it as "PREDICTED lncRNA (TCONS_00155023)". The record is from RNAcentral. Lineage: Eukaryota; Metazoa; Chordata; Mammalia; Primates; Hominidae.